Molecule: ribosomal RNA, 451 nt
Filed under: uncultured bacterium
Lineage: Bacteria
Description: bacterial SSU rRNA
Rfam family: Bacterial small subunit ribosomal RNA
Source: RNAcentral
GUGGGGAAUAUUGGACAAUGGGGGCAACCCUGAUCCAGCCAUGCCGCGUGUGUGAAGAAGGCCUUUUGGUUGUAAAGCACUUUAAGCAGGGAGGAGAGGCUAAUGGUUAAUACCCAUUAGAUUAGACGUUACCUGCAGAAUAAGCACCGGCUAACUCUGUGCCAGCAGCCGCGGUAAUACAGAGGGUGCGAGCGUUAAUCGGAAUUACUGGGCGUAAAGCGAGUGUAGGUGGCUCAUUAAGUCACAUGUGAAAUCCCCGGGCUUAACCUGGGAACUGCAUGUGAUACUGGUGGUGCUAGAAUAUGUGAGAGGGAAGUAGAAUUCCAGGUGUAGCGGUGAAAUGCGUAGAGAUCUGGAGGAAUACCGAUGGCGAAGGCAGCUUCCUGGCAUAAUAUUGACACUGAGAUUCGAAAGCGUGGGUAGCAAACAGGAUUAGAAACCCUAGUAGUCC